UGGCUCAGCGGUUAAAAGCACUGGACUNCUCUUCCAGAGGUCCUGAGUUCAAUUCCCAG
This 59-nucleotide transfer RNA is filed under the name Neotoma lepida (desert woodrat). It matches the Rfam family "tRNA", at positions 8 to 63 of the family's 71-position model. Rfam says of the family: Transfer RNA (tRNA) molecules are approximately 80 nucleotides in length. Their secondary structure includes four short double-helical elements and three loops (D, anti-codon, and T loops). Further hydrogen bonds mediate the characteristic L-shaped molecular structure. tRNAs have two regions of fundamental functional importance: the anti-codon, which is responsible for specific mRNA codon recognition, and the 3' end, to which the tRNAs corresponding amino acid is attached (by aminoacyl-tRNA synthetases). tRNAs cope with the degeneracy of the genetic code in two manners: having more than one tRNA (with a specific anti-codon) for a particular amino acid; and 'wobble' base-pairing, i.e. permitting non-standard base-pairing at the 3rd anti-codon position. The record is from Rfam by way of RNAcentral. Lineage: Eukaryota; Metazoa; Chordata; Mammalia; Rodentia; Cricetidae.